GCUGGGCAUGGGGGCGCAUGUCUGUAAUCCCAGUGGCUCAGGAGGCUGAGGCAGGAGGAUUGUGAGUUCAAAUCCAGCCUCAGCAAAAGUAAGGCACUAAGCUACUCAGUGAGACCCUGUCUCUA
This 125-nucleotide small RNA is filed under the name Marmota monax (woodchuck). Lineage: Eukaryota; Metazoa; Chordata; Mammalia; Rodentia; Sciuridae. The record is from RNAcentral.